CAGAAAGGAAGGAAGAGAGAGAGAGAAAGAGAAGGAGAAAGAGAAAGAAAGAAGGAAAGAAAGAAAGAAAGGGAGAUCCGUCCAAACCGUCGAUAUUUUGGAGAAACCUCAAGUUUGCAGGCGAAAUUAGUUGAGGUCGGGCGUACACUGGAGUUGAGGCAUAGUCAACAGCAUGGCUUCCGCGUUUUUCUCUUUGUUUUAGGUUUUCCUUGACUACCCUUGCUAUUAGAAUUGCUCUGAUCACCUGAGGAAUUAAUGUUAUUUAAGUUGUGAUU
Long non-coding RNA from Rosa rugosa (rugosa rose), 275 nucleotides. RefSeq lists it as uncharacterized. The transcript is spliced from 2 exons. The record is from RefSeq and is a predicted model, not a curated record. Lineage: Eukaryota; Viridiplantae; Streptophyta; Magnoliopsida; Rosales; Rosaceae.